RNAcentral lists this ribosomal RNA (253 nucleotides) under uncultured bacterium. RNAcentral describes it as "partial 16S ribosomal RNA". It matches the Rfam family "Bacterial small subunit ribosomal RNA", at positions 524 to 776 of the family's 1533-position model. The record is from RNAcentral.
GACGAAGGAUGCAAGCGUUAUCCGGAUUCAUUGGGCUUAAAGGGAGCGUAGGUGGUCUUAUAAGUCAGUGGUGAAAUCUCGCAGCUUAACUGCGAAACUGCCAUUGAUACUGUAGGACUUGAGUAUAGUUGCUGUGGGCGGAAUAUGACAUGUAGUGGUGAAAUACUUAGAGAUGUCAUAGAACACCGAUUGCGAAGGCAGCUCACAGAACUAUAACUGACACUGAGGCUCGAAAGUGCGGGGAGCAAACAGG